RNAcentral lists this ribosomal RNA (168 nucleotides) under Pterogobius zacalles. RNAcentral's name for it is "partial 12S rRNA". The record is from RNAcentral. Lineage: Eukaryota; Metazoa; Chordata; Actinopteri; Gobiiformes; Gobiidae.
CACCGCGGUUAUACGAGAGGCCCAAGUUGAUAAAUGCCGGCGUAAAAUGUGGUUUAUACACUAAUUUACUAAAGCUAAACACCUUCAAAGCUGUUAUACGCUUAUGAAGACAGGAGACUCCCCCACGAAAGUAGCUUUAAAUAAUAUUAUACCACGAAAAUUAGGAAA